This 207-nucleotide long non-coding RNA is filed under the name Mytilus galloprovincialis (Mediterranean mussel). The record is from RNAcentral. Lineage: Eukaryota; Metazoa; Mollusca; Bivalvia; Mytilida; Mytilidae.
GUGGGUUUGAUAUAUGAACUUGACUUUAAUUUCAUAAUCCAUUAAAUGGGUUAAGUCAAGUUACUAUUUUUUCACUUUUUGUUGUUUGUAAUUUGGUGGUAUUGGUUUUAUAUACUUAAAGCCUAAUGGUGACUUGCACUUGUUUCAUCCUCGAUUUAAGUUAUUUGUUUUUGGUAGAUAGUUGUCUCAUUAGUAAAUGUAUCACAU